This is a non-coding RNA of Schistosoma mansoni, 45 nucleotides long. Lineage: Eukaryota; Metazoa; Platyhelminthes; Trematoda; Strigeidida; Schistosomatidae. The record is from Rfam.
AUCCAGCUGACGAGUUCCAAAUAGGACUAAACGCGCGUCCUGGAU